Molecule: transfer RNA, 74 nt
Filed under: Thermoprotei archaeon
Lineage: Archaea; Thermoproteati; Thermoproteota; Thermoprotei
Description: tRNA-Asp
Rfam family: tRNA
About the family: Transfer RNA (tRNA) molecules are approximately 80 nucleotides in length. Their secondary structure includes four short double-helical elements and three loops (D, anti-codon, and T loops).
Source: RNAcentral
GCCCCGGUCGUAUAGCGGCCCAGUAUGCCGGCCUGUCGAGCCGGAGAACCCGGGUUCAAAUCCCGGCCGGGGCG